This 268-nucleotide ribosomal RNA is filed under the name uncultured Glomus. Its description in RNAcentral is "partial small subunit ribosomal RNA". It matches the Rfam family "Eukaryotic small subunit ribosomal RNA", at positions 605 to 877 of the family's 1831-position model. Lineage: Eukaryota; Fungi; Glomeromycota; Glomeromycetes; Glomerales; Glomeraceae. The record is from RNAcentral.
UAAAGUUGUUGCAGUUAAAAAGAUCGUAGUUGAAUUUCGGGAUCAGCAUGUCGGUCGUGCCUCUGGUACGUACUGGUAUCGUUGAUUUCUACCUUCUGACGAACUAUGAUGUCAUUAAUUUGGUGUCAUGGGGAAUCAGGACUGUUACUUUGAAAAAAUUAGAGUGUUUAAAGCAGGCACACGCUUGAAUACAUUAGCAUGGAAUAAUGAAAUAGGACGUUUGACCCUAUUUUGUUGGUUUCUAGGAUCGACGUAAUGAUUAAUAGGG